UGUUUGAACUCCAUUCAUGUGUCAUGCUAGGAAAGGAGUGGUAUUAUCCCAGUCUUCCAGCUUAAACAUUUCACAACACUAAAUCCAUACUCUUUCUCCUUGUGUCUUACAAUUCUCCAAGCUAGAUCCCUAAGCAUAUUCCAUAAUCAGUGGGAAAGGGAGCUGAGCACAUCUGCACAGCCUCCUGUUUCGUCAGAUGUCUGUAAUCCCAGCUACUUGGGAAGCUGAGGUAGAUGGAUCGCAGGAGCACAGGAGUUCAAGACCACAGUGAGCUAAGAUGGAGCCACUACAAGCCAGGGAAACAAAGCAAGACCCUGUCUCUACUGUCUGUAAGGAAAAAACGAGAGAGAGAGAGAGAAGGAAACCAGAAACUGAUAUGUGUACAGAAUGUGUCCUAAAAUAGAUGUUGGCACACUGCUUUCCCACUGAGCAGACAAAAGAAGCUGUUACGGUAAAUAUUUCCAGGAGGCAUGACUCCUUCGGCUUCAAGACCAUCUAUUGCCACUUUUAACUGAUUAAAGUGAUUGCCUGGGACUGCUGGAUCUAUUCCAACUCUGUAUAAAUAUAGUCAGAACAUA
Pan troglodytes (chimpanzee) is the source of this 578-nucleotide long non-coding RNA. RefSeq lists it as uncharacterized. The transcript has 4 exons. Lineage: Eukaryota; Metazoa; Chordata; Mammalia; Primates; Hominidae. The record is from RefSeq and is a predicted model, not a curated record.